UAUUAAAGAUGUAAUCCAUUUUACUGUUAACAAUUGGUGUAGUUGAUGGAAUAACCAAACUGUUCCAUGUGACUUGCCACGUGUACCUUAUGCUGAUAUAUAAGGACACCAGUUUUCUAACAGUAGAAAUGGAUGAAAUUUUUAACA
This is a non-coding RNA of Gossypium raimondii (Peruvian cotton), 147 nucleotides long. NCBI's taxonomy places the organism in Eukaryota, Viridiplantae, Streptophyta, Magnoliopsida, Malvales, Malvaceae. The record is from Rfam.